Molecule: ribosomal RNA, 245 nt
Filed under: uncultured Sphingomonas sp.
Lineage: Bacteria; Pseudomonadati; Pseudomonadota; Alphaproteobacteria; Sphingomonadales; Sphingomonadaceae
Description: partial 16S ribosomal RNA
Rfam family: Bacterial small subunit ribosomal RNA
Source: RNAcentral
UACGGAGGGAGCUAGCGUUGUUCGGAAUUACUGGGCGUAAAGCGCGCGUAGGCGGCUUUGUAAGUUAGAGGUGAAAGCCCGGGGCUCAACCCCGGAACUGCCUUUAAAACUGCAUCGCUUGAAUCCAGGAGAGGUGAGUGGAAUUCCGAGUGUAGAGGUGAAAUUCGUAGGUAUUCGGAAGAACACCAGUGGCGAAGGCGGCUCACUGGACUGGUAUUGACGCUGAUGUGCGAAAGCGUGGGGAG